GCGUAAGAGGUCAUCAACCUUUAUAAGCCUGACAAUUUUUCCAACGCCAGUUCGCAGAGCCUGCAUCAACGAGCAGCUGCCUACACAGCAUUUCAUUACAGCUGUUUGCGAAAAGAAUAUGUCAGGCGAGACAUACGACGGCGGCAGGUGCUAUCUGAGAGCAGAAAUAACCUCUAUCUCGGUCCUGAUGGAUAAGUAGACAGGAAGGCAAGGUAGUGGUGGUGCAUGUCGCAAAAGACAUUAAUGUAAUGGAAUAAGUUGAGGGCCCUCCGUCAAACUCAGUGCUCUUCGCUGCUUCCUUUCCUGCUGCUUGUCUGUUGAUUCAUGCCAGAUGAAUUGCCUCUCCGCCAGCCUGCCCUCUCUAACUCGAUGUAAAAGCCUUGAGCUCAGUGCAUAAUUCAUUAGCAAUGUGAUUAGCUUCAAGUGCUACACUGAUCGGUUGAACUGAGCUGGAGCUAGAAAAGAGCAAGGCAAGGAGACUUUCAAAUAGCUCCAAGCUUACACAUUAAACAUGUGCUUCUAAAUCCUAACCACAUAAUUAAGUACCGCAAGUAUUUCAAUAUUUUGUUUCAUGUCGCAUAUAACGCUAACAUUAUGGGAUGGGUGUUAUUAUACUAGUGCUGCUUUGAUAGAGGCCAUAAACUAUAAUCGCUCUUGAGUACCAGCCUUAUUAACCUCUUCUCAGAUGGAUUGGUACACAAGUCAUCAAUUUGCUCCUAGAAAACUUGCUUUAAGUUCGCCAUCCGUCUUUGUCAGGAACAAUCGCCAACUUCAUCACUCAAGCCAGAGAGGCAAGCGAGCGGGAUUGGCACAGCGGUUCUUGUGACUUUCUUACUCCCUGCUGCCAGAUCCGGCCUUCUUCCCAUGCUCUGUCAGAGGGGUUCUUCCGGAAGGUUGUCAAGGGCAAGGACAGAAGUGAUGCCACAGUGGUAACAUUUCCAGUAGGCUUUGCCUACCCGAUUAUACACGCUAUCUGCAAGUGGUCAGGCCUCAGCGGGAUGUCAUGAGUGGACUAUCCAGGACCUCCCUAAUCCGUUAGAAGCAGCUGAAUAUGUGUGGUCAGAGAGAGGUCAGGCUUCAGCGCAUAGCAAAACUCUGCUGAAAAGAGGGUACUUUGGAAGAGACGAGCAUGUUCAUAACAGGGCUGUGCACUUGAGAAGGUCUCUUAAACUGCAAUUCAGAUCCUAAAUUUGAACUGAAUUUGAAUUGAGGCAGCAAACAGGAUGCAGUAUUGGAGGAAAGACAAACUUUAAAUGUAGAAAGUUGUAAAAAAAGAUUAGAUUGCUGAAGUUUUAUCAGCCUAACAGAUAGAUACGUAACAGAUAAAAUAGACAGAUAAAUAGAAUGAUAGAGUGACAGAACAACAGAACAUUAAAUAUAAUGUUGGAAAGAACAACAGAUAGCUUGAUAGAACCAUAAACUGAUAGACAGAAUGACAGAGAGAUGUAUAGAUAGACAGAUAGAAUGACAGAACAAUGGAGGGAAUGAUAGAUGGAACAAUAGUUUGAUAGAUAGAAUGAUAGAUAGAUAGAUAGAACGAUAGUUUGAUAGAUAGAAUGAUAGAUAGAUAGAUAGAAUGAUAGUUUGAUAGAUAGAAUGAUAGAUAGAUAGAACGAUAGUUUGAUAGAUAGAAUGAUAGUUUGAUAGAUAGAAUGAUAGAUAAAACCACACUCUAAACCCGGAUUUUGUUUUAAAUAAACGUUUUUAGCUGUCUUUAAUUAUUAUUUCUUGUUUUUGUAAAACACGUCGCCAUUACUAAAUAUAAUUAGUUAUUUGAAGUAAUCAGACGAAAUAUUGCAUGCAAUGAUAAUGUUUAGUAGAGAUAGCUUAAUGUGUUAAGUUUCUCUGAGGGGGAGGAGCCCUAUUUGAACACGUCUGCUUGAGCGCGCGAUGUUUGAAGAGAUCUGAGACCGGUUGAUGAUGCACGCGAUGGAUUUGGAAAACAUCAUGAAACGGUGUUCAUGGAGUUCUACAGGAUUGUGGGCAAGAAUCUCAAGCAAUCAUCUAAUUGAGAUUUCAGUCUAAAGAGGGAAUGCUGGACAGCUGUUGACAGCUUUCACAACAAAUCAAGACUAAAGAGCCAGCUGAUACUAGGUUUCUCCCUUUUGCCGUUUGCGACAACCCUACAGAUUUCUACAAAAUAUGCUUUGACUCUGAUGACGAUUACUCAUUCCACCACCUGGACAUUGGAAUCAUCCUCACUGAGUAUGAAGGUGAUGUGCUCUCAUCCUCUCUCCGUCUCAAUCCAGCCCCAUCAUUGAAGGAGAUUUUGUGAUGCACAGUAUUGAAGACUUGUCAAAAGCUGUGCAUUCUGUAUGGACUUACGCACUGCAUCUCAACUAUCCUAAAUAUGCGAAGAACACAUUCCAGAUCAUCCAACAGGUACUUCUCAUGUUGGGCCACAGUGAACUAAAACCCAGGUUGCAAACUGAAAAAUUGUCCUACAGUGUUAGGAAAUGCAAGAAGCUUCCAUGAGAAGUCACUUGUGUUCUGCCAUACGAGACAUUAAAGUGUAUUCUGUCUCUGCAUAUUAGUGCUGUUAGAGCUCCGUUAAUGUGUGUUCACACAAUGCUUCAGCCAAGUUUAAAGUUAGAGACUUGCCUCUGUUUUAAUUUAAGCCCAGUUGUUAAUGCACAUCCAGGCAUUCACAAGGGAUAUAGCAUAUAUUCUUGAAUACUGUGUUCAUGUUUCUUCUACAAAAUAGUUACAAUUGUUAACGAGCUGUUCCAAAGCUUAUUUUUACUUGUCUUGUGGCUGACAAGUUUUAUGUAUUGUUGUGCUACCAUUUCUUUGGUGAACAAAAAAAAAUAAAAAAACAUUGGUGCAUUGAAAUCUGUUUUUCUUUUUUCCAAUUUAUAUGAAACUAAAUGUUUAAUACAAUAAAUCUCAAAAUCUAUGUCUAAUUACAUGACAUUACAUAAAUGUGUCAUUACUUAAAAACAUUUGUUAAUGUUAUUUGCUAAUAUGUUUUUGUAGUUGUAACUUGAAAGCUAUUUUAUACAACCUAUACUCCAAAUAACAAUAAUUGAUGUGAACUAAUGAUUUUGAGUAAAGACUACUAAUGUAAACCUGAUUUGUCUA
Long non-coding RNA from Onychostoma macrolepis, 3081 nucleotides. RefSeq lists it as uncharacterized. The transcript has 4 exons. NCBI's taxonomy places the organism in Eukaryota, Metazoa, Chordata, Actinopteri, Cypriniformes, Cyprinidae. The record is from RefSeq and is a predicted model, not a curated record.